GACGUAGGGCGCGAGCGUUGUCCGGAUUUAUUGGGCGUAAAGAGCUCGUAGGCGGUUUGUCGCGUCGUCCGUGAAAACUCACAGCUUAACUGUGAGCUUGCGGUCGAUACGGGCAGGCUAGAGUUCGGUAGGGGAGACUGGAAUUCCUGGUGUAGCGGUGAAAUGCACAGAUAUCAGGAGGAACACCGGUGGCGAAGGCGGGUCUCUGGGCCGAUACUGACGCUGAGGAGCGGAAGCGUGGGGAGCGAACAGG
This 253-nucleotide ribosomal RNA is filed under the name uncultured bacterium. RNAcentral describes it as "partial 16S ribosomal RNA". It matches the Rfam family "Bacterial small subunit ribosomal RNA", at positions 524 to 776 of the family's 1533-position model. The record is from RNAcentral.